AUUGAACGCUGGCGGCAGGCCUAACACAUGCAAGUCGAACGGUAACAGGAAGAAGCUUGCUUCUUUGCUGACGAGUGGCGGACGGGUGAGUAAUGUCUGGGAAACUGCCUGAUGGAGGGGGAUAACUACUGGAAACGGUAGCUAAUACCGCAUAACGUCGCAAGACCAAAAAGGGGGACCUUCGGGCCUCUUGCCAUCGGAUGUGCCCAGAUGGGAUUAGCUAGUAGGUGGGGUAACGGCUCACCUAGGCGACGAUCCCUAGCUGGUCUGAGAGGAUGACUAGCCACACUGGAACUGAGACACGGUCCAGACUCCUACGGGAGGCAGCAGUGGGGAAUAUUGCACAAUGGGCGCAAGCCUGAUGCAGCCAUGCCGCGUGUAUGAAGAAGGCCUUCGGGUUGUAAAGUACUUUCAGCGGGGAGGAAGGGAGUAAAGUUAAUACCUUUGCUCAUUGACGUUACCCGCAGAAGAAGCACCGGCUAACUCCGU
RNAcentral lists this ribosomal RNA (489 nucleotides) under uncultured bacterium. RNAcentral's name for it is "partial 16S ribosomal RNA". It matches the Rfam family "Bacterial small subunit ribosomal RNA", at positions 30 to 506 of the family's 1533-position model. The record is from RNAcentral.